UUUCGGACAAUGGGCGCAAGCCUGAUCCAGCCAUGCCGCUUGUGUGAAGAAGGCCUUCGGGUUGUAAAGCUCUUUCGGACGGAAAGAGAUCGCGCAGGCUAAUACCCUGCGCGGAUUACGGUACCGUUAUAAGAAGGAUCGGCUAACCUCGUGCCGACAGCCGCCGUUAUACGUAGGGUGCGAGCGUUAAUCGGAAUUACUUGGCGUAAAGCGUGCGCAGGCGGUUGAUUAAGACAGGCGUGGAAUCCCCGGGCUUAACCUGGGAACUGCGCUUGUGACAGGUCAGCUAGAGUACGGCAGAGGGGGGUGGAAUUCAACGUGUAGCAGUGAAAUGCGUAGAGAUGUGGAGGAACACCGAUGGCGAAGGCAGCCCCCUGGGCCGAUACUGACGCUCAUGCACGAAAGCGUGGGUAGCAAACAGG
RNAcentral lists this ribosomal RNA (422 nucleotides) under uncultured bacterium. RNAcentral's name for it is "partial 16S ribosomal RNA". It matches the Rfam family "Bacterial small subunit ribosomal RNA", at positions 362 to 776 of the family's 1533-position model. The record is from RNAcentral.